GAUGAACGCUGGCGGCAGGCCUAACACAUGCAAGUCGAGCGGUAGAGAGGUGCUUGCAUCUCUUGAGAGCGGCGGACGGGUGAGUAAUGCCUAGGAAUCUGCCUAGUGGUGGGGGAUAACGUUCGGAAACGGACGCUAAUACCGCAUACGUCCUACGGGAGAAAGCGGGGGAUCUUCGGACCUCGCGCCAUUAGAUGAGCCUAGGUCGGAUUAGCUAGUUGGUGAGGUAAUGGCUCACCAAGGCGACGAUCCGUAACUGGUCUGAGAGGAUGAUCAGUCACACUGGAACUGAGACACGGUCCAGACUCCUACGGGAGGCAGCAGUGGGGAAUUUUAGACAAUGGGGAAACCUGAUCUAGCCAUGCCGCGUGAUCGAUGAAGGCCUUAGGGUUGUAAAGAUCUUUCAGUGGGAAGAUAAUGACGGUACCCACAGAAGAAGCCCGGCUAACUCCGUGCCAGCAGCCGCGGUAAAGUGACUAC
This 480-nucleotide ribosomal RNA is filed under the name uncultured bacterium. RNAcentral's name for it is "bacterial SSU rRNA". It matches the Rfam family "Bacterial small subunit ribosomal RNA", at positions 28 to 531 of the family's 1533-position model. The record is from RNAcentral.